UACAUUUGUGUUAUCAAACUUCUCUUUUAAUGCAGGAGUUGUCCCUUCAACACAGAGUAAUUCUACCUGCAGGCUAUUUAGUGAAGAGCCUUGCUGUUUUUGGGCCCGCUGGAAACUAUUUAGCACUGUUUACAGAAGAGAAAAGCAGGGCCACCAGAUCAGCAACCAAAUCUAAAACUGAUUUCAAAGUACAUUCUCCGAUAGAACAACACACAUCUUUCUAAUUUAGGGACAUGAGUGGAUAUCUGAGUAAAACAUCACUGUUGAAAGACAGCCUGACUUUCACGAACCAUGGGGGCAAAAAAAUGUGCAUACCUUCCAGAAGAAAACACUGUAGCUAGGUCUCAAAGGUUCAGUAUCAAGUGAUUUCCAUGAGGUCAUGAGGUUUCCAGAAGUGAAUAGAGUAUCUCAGCCUUGGUUUCACUAAGGAGAGAUGGGCCUAGCUGCACAAGGAUCUGUCAUGUGCAAUUUUGUUUACUUGUGCCUGUUUGCUAACCUCCAGCUUUGUGGAACAGGUCCCCUGAUCUGGUUCACAGCAUGGCCCUGCCAGGAGCUGGAACUGGGAAGAUUGAGGAGUGACGCAAUGUGGCACGAGGACAAAAAAGGUUGAACUGGGUGUUGGGAUGUUUCUGAGGCCACAGGAUCAGAAAACUGUGGCCUUUCUGCUGCCAGCCUGAGGCAAGCCUCAAUUUCUAGCCACUAAUGAUCUUGUUAAUCUGUUUUAUAGCACAGUCAA
Empidonax traillii (willow flycatcher) is the source of this 736-nucleotide long non-coding RNA. RefSeq lists it as uncharacterized. The transcript is spliced from 3 exons. NCBI's taxonomy places the organism in Eukaryota, Metazoa, Chordata, Aves, Passeriformes, Tyrannidae. The record is from RefSeq and is a predicted model, not a curated record.